CACCGUAGAGCUGGUGAAUUCCUGUACUGAACAAGAAGCCAUUUUAACAUCAUCUCUUUCUUCUGCGAGGCUGGGCUUCUCAUCUGGAUGUCUGAAGCUGGGAAGAGAGGUUCUCAUGGCCACUGGGGUGAAUGAGAGCCACUGCAACCCUGCGCUGGAGCAAAUCAAUCUCCUAGCUGCCAAGGCAUCGCAGUGACAUCUCUCUGCAAUACACCAGCAAAUGGAAAAUCCCUUCCCACAGACAAUUCUGCUGUUUUGAACAUUUUUACAUCCUGAAUGAAGAUGAAAAGUCAAAUCUGAUUUUUUGAAGGGGAAGUGAUUUCCAGAAAAUUCAGUUUCAGAAGAACCAAAAUGGAAGGCUGUCAUCAACUUCACUUCCCUCAGGGGGGCAGCUGGGGAGCUAUAGUUUCAAUUGUCUCGAUGGAAAAUGAGGCUUUUUCAGUAAAACUGAAAUGCUCCCCCAGGGAAGUUUUGAAGGUGUGAAAAGAAUGUUUUCCAUCAGAAAAUCAUUCCAAUGGCAAAUUCCCAGCCAACUCUAAUCUAUAUCCAUAUACAGCCUCCAAAGUGGAACAUUUUGAUCACAGAGAAUGUAAAAUCGUAUUUUUCACGAGUGGCUUUCACCGUUUGAUGGAUGCAAGCUGCUGGGUGUCCCACACUGAAGGGCCAAACACCAGGAGAAGACCCACUAGAAAGCAGCAUGUAUAGGGCAUAGCUACUAAAUGUGUACAGUCUCUCGGAACUCCCUGGAAAAUGGCUAAUCCCGAUCUCUUUCCAACAACAAGAACUAGUCCUUCUCUUAGGGUUUGACAAUGGCUAUCGUGGGAAUCAUAUGAUGGGGAGAAGUGAGGGUCUCUGAUUGCGGAGGGGGGUAGGUUGGGGCUACUGGGAGGAGCCAAUUCUGCCUCAUCUGCCCCUUCUCGGGACUCCUCAUGUCUAGUGUAUGGGCCACACUGCUGGGUCCUGCCCUCUCCCCAGUCCUAGGAGGCAUAAUGGGGAAGGGCAGCAUGGUGAGAUUGGGAUCCAGGAGGCACCAGCACUGAUGUGGCCAGAUGAGGGACACAGGCAGGGAGGGGGCAGGGAGGCUGUGUGUGAGCUCAGAGGGUAGGAGUCUGCUCCAGCAUGCCUGGGGGAGGAAGAAGGGCAGGGGAGGGCUGGCUGAGGGCAUUAAAGGCAUCUCCUCUUGGAGCAGCAGAGAAGAGAAGUGACAGGAUUUGACCAUCAUUUCAAACAGCAGUUCUGGAAGCAAUGA
Long non-coding RNA from Mauremys reevesii (Reeves's turtle), 1249 nucleotides. RefSeq lists it as uncharacterized. The record is from RefSeq and is a predicted model, not a curated record. The transcript is spliced from 3 exons. Lineage: Eukaryota; Metazoa; Chordata; Testudines; Geoemydidae.